Molecule: transfer RNA, 76 nt
Filed under: Candidatus Bathyarchaeota archaeon
Lineage: Archaea; Thermoproteati; Candidatus Bathyarchaeota
Description: tRNA-Phe
Rfam family: tRNA
About the family: Transfer RNA (tRNA) molecules are approximately 80 nucleotides in length. Their secondary structure includes four short double-helical elements and three loops (D, anti-codon, and T loops).
Source: RNAcentral
GGGUGGGUAGCUGAUGAGGUCUUAGCGCCGGAUUGAAGUCCCGGAGAUGGCGGUUCGAUACCGCCCCCACCCACCA